GACGAACGCUGGCGGCGUGCUUAACACAUGCAAGUCGAACGGAAAGGCUCCAGCUUGCUGGAGUGCUCGAGUGGCGAACGGGUGAGUAACACGUGGGCAAUCUGCCCUGCACUCUGGGAUAAGCCUGGGAAACUGGGUCUAAUACCGGAUAGGACCUUUCUCCUCAUGGGGUUUGGUGGAAAGUUUUUCGGUGCAGGAUGAGCCCGCGGCCUAUCAGCUUGUUGGUGGGGUAAUGGCCUACCAAGGCGACGACGGGUAGCCGGCCUGGGAGGGUGAUCGGCCACAUGGGGACUAGGAUAGGGCAGAGACGCCGCGGGGGGGAGGGGGGGGGGAUUAUUGAAAAAGGGGAAAGGGCUUGGGGCGGCGCCGCGGGGGGGGGGAGGAGGGCUUGGGGUUUUUAAACAUCUUUAGGGGGGGACGAAGCGCAGGUGACGGUACCUGAAGAAGAAGCGCGGGCAAACGAGGGG
This 467-nucleotide ribosomal RNA is filed under the name uncultured bacterium. RNAcentral describes it as "partial 16S ribosomal RNA". It matches the Rfam family "Bacterial small subunit ribosomal RNA", at positions 28 to 507 of the family's 1533-position model. The record is from RNAcentral.